Molecule: ribosomal RNA, 424 nt
Filed under: uncultured bacterium
Lineage: Bacteria
Description: bacterial SSU rRNA
Rfam family: Bacterial small subunit ribosomal RNA
Source: RNAcentral
UAAGGAAUAUUGGUCAAUGGACGCAAGUCUGAACCAGCCAUGCCGCGUGAAGGAUGACGGCCCUAUGGGUUGUAAACUGCUUUUGUGCAGGAAGAACGCUCCCUACGAGUAGGGAAUUGACGGUACUGCAUGAAUAAGCAUCGGCUAACUCCGUGCCGGCAGCCGCGGUAAUACGGAGGAUGCAAGCGUUAUCCGGAUUCAUUGGGUUUAAAGGGUGCGCAGGCGGAAUGAUAAGUCAGUGGUGAAAUCCUACAGCUUAACUGUAGAACUGCCAUUGAUACUAUCGUUCUUGAGUACAUUUGAAGUGGGCGGAAUGUGUCAUGUAGCGGUGAAAUGCUUAGAUAUGACACAGAACACCGAUCGCGAAGGCAGCUCACUAAGUUGUAACUGACGCUCAGGCACGAAAGCGUGGGGAUCAAACAGG